GACGAACGCUGGGCGGCGCGCCUAACACAUGCAAGUUCGAACGGAGCUUAGAGAGCUUCGCUUUUUCGAGCUUAGCGGCGAAACGGGCGAGUAACGCGCGAGUAACCUGCCCUAGAGUCGGGGGACAACAGUCGGAAAACGACUGCUAAUACCGCAUAAGCCCACGGUACCGCAUGGUACUGAGGGAAAAGGAUUUAUUCGCUUUAGGAUGGACUCGCGUCCAAUUAGCUAGUUGGUGAGGUAACGGCCCACCAAGGCGACGAUUGGUAGCCGGACUGAGAGGUUGAACGGCCACAUUGGGACUGAGACACGGCCCAGACUCCUACGGGAGGCAGCAGUGGGGGAUAUUGCACAAUGGGGGAAACCCUGAUGCAGCGACGCCGCGCGGAGGAAGAAGGUUUUCGGAUUGUAAACUCCUGUCGUUAGGGACGAUAAUGACGGUACCUAACAAGAAAGCACCGGCUAACUACGUGCCAGCAGCCGCGGUAAAACGUAGGGUGCAAGCGUUGUCCGGAAUUACUGGGUGUAAAGGGAGCGCAGGCGGGAAGACAAGUUGGAAGUGAAAACCAUGGGCUCAACCCAUGAAUUGCUUUCAAAACUGUUUUUCUUGAGUAGUGCAGAGGUAGAUGGAAUUCCCGGUGUAGCGGUGGAAUGCGUAGAUAUCGGGAGGAACACCAGUGGCGAAGGCGGUCUACUGGGCACCAACUGACGCUGAGGCUCGAAAGCAUGGGUAGCAAACAGGAUUAGAUACCCUGGUAGUCCAUGCCGUAAACGAUGAUUACUAGGUGUUGGGGGAUUGACCCCCUCAGUGCCGCAGUUAACACAAUAAGUAAUCCACCUGGGGAGUACGACCGCAAGGUUGAAACUCAAAGGAAUUGACGGGGGCCCGCACAAGCAGUGGAGUAUGUGGUUUAAUUCGAAGCAACGCGAAGAACCUUACCAGGUCUUGACAUCCGAUGCAUAGCACAGAGAUGUGUGAAAUCCUUCGGGACAUCGAGACAGGUGGUGCAUGGUUGUCGUCAGCUCGUGUCGUGAGAUGUUGGGUUAAGUCCCGCAACGAGCGCAACCCUUAUUGCCAGUUACUACGUUAAGAGGACUCUGGCGAGACUGCCGUUGACAAAACGGAGGAAGGUGGGGAUGACGUCAAAUCACCAUGCCCUUUAUGACCUGGGCUACACACGUACUACAAAUGGCGUUAAACAAAAGAGAAGCAAAGACCGCGAGGUGGAGCAAAAACUCAAAAAACAAACGUCUCAAGUUCAGAUUGCAAGGCUGCAACUCGCCUGCAUGAAGUUCGAAAUUGCUAGUUAAUCGCGAUUCACCAUGCCGCGGUGAAUACGGUUCCCGGGCC
This 1351-nucleotide ribosomal RNA is filed under the name uncultured bacterium. RNAcentral describes it as "bacterial SSU rRNA". It matches the Rfam family "Bacterial small subunit ribosomal RNA", at positions 28 to 1380 of the family's 1533-position model. The record is from RNAcentral.